RNAcentral lists this ribosomal RNA (473 nucleotides) under fungal endophyte. RNAcentral's name for it is "eukaryotic LSU rRNA". The stretch from base 105 to 258 matches the Rfam family "5.8S ribosomal RNA". Lineage: Eukaryota; Fungi. The record is from RNAcentral.
CAUACCAUUUGUUGCCUCGGCGGUGCCUGCUUCGGCAGCCCGCCAGAGGACCCAAACCCUUGAUUUUAUACAGUAUCUUCUGAGUAAAUGAUUAAAUAAAUCAAAACUUUCAACAACGGAUCUCUUGGUUCUGGCAUCGAUGAAGAACGCAGCGAAAUGCGAUAAGUAAUGUGAAUUGCAGAAUUCAGUGAAUCAUCGAAUCUUUGAACGCACAUUGCGCCCGCCAGUAUUCUGGCGGGCAUGCCUGUUCGAGCGUCAUUUCAACCCUCAAGCCCCCGGGCUUGGUGUUGGAGAUCGGCGUGCCCUCUGGGGCGCGCCGGCUCCCAAAUAUAGUGGCGGUCUCGCUGUAGCUUCCUCUGCGUAGUAGCACACCUCGCACUGGGAAACAGCGUGGCCACGCCGUUAAACCCCCCACUUCUGAAAGGUUGACCUCGGAUCAGGUAGGAAUACCCGCUGAACUUAAGCAUAUCAAU